GUAGGAGCCUGACUAACGCCCUUUCAGCAAAGAAAGACAUGGGAGCUUCAUGCUGAGUCAAAGUCUUCCAGUACAGAAGACGAAUGUCAUACAGAACAUAAAAAGAAGACAAUGAGUAGACGACAAAUUGAGAGGAAAAAGAAACAUCACAAAGUUGACUCAUCAUCCUCAUCUGAAUCAAUCUCAACUCAGUCCUCUUCAUCCCCUGCACCCCGAAAAUCCAGCAAACAUAAGGAUAAAGCCAAGAAAAGGAAAGUGAACAAAAAGGAAAAAUGCACAAGAGUCUUUUUUCCAGAGCAAGCCAUGAACAGAUACAAGAAGGUCUAGGGCUAUUUGAAAGGCGUACUUCAAAUGCGGUGUGGAUAGAAAGACAAUUGUGGAUACUGCUGCAGUCUCAGAGCUCGAAGCAUGUGACAAUGAGGCAUACAAACAUCUGCCUGCCACAUUACAAAGAGGACAGAAACUCUCUGAUUUUGCAGAGCGGUGCAGAGAGUUAUGCAG
This is a long non-coding RNA of Puntigrus tetrazona (Sumatra barb), 501 nucleotides long. RefSeq lists it as uncharacterized. The transcript has 3 exons. NCBI's taxonomy places the organism in Eukaryota, Metazoa, Chordata, Actinopteri, Cypriniformes, Cyprinidae. The record is from RefSeq and is a predicted model, not a curated record.